AUCGCUUCUCGGCCUUUUGGCUCAGAUCAAGUGUAGUAUCUGUUCUUAUCAGUUUAAUAUCUGAUACGUCCCCCAUCGGGGGACUACAUAUUAAAUGGAUUUUUCGAACAGGGAGUCGGAAAUGGGGCUUGCUCCGUCCGCUCCACGCAUUUGACUUUGCAGUUUUUCCUCCGGGAGGUGAAGCAGAA
This is a small nuclear RNA of Oncorhynchus nerka (sockeye salmon), 188 nucleotides long. RefSeq annotates it as U2 spliceosomal RNA. The transcript has a single exon. Lineage: Eukaryota; Metazoa; Chordata; Actinopteri; Salmoniformes; Salmonidae. The record is from RefSeq and is a predicted model, not a curated record.